GGGAGUGGAUGGGGCUCUGGUGUCCCCCGCGGCCUUCAAAGCCGACUGUCCCGCCUUUUUGGUUGGGAGGGAGGUUCGAUUCCUUCACACUCCCGCCA
RNAcentral lists this transfer RNA (98 nucleotides) under Deferrivibrio metallireducens. Its description in RNAcentral is "Deferribacteraceae bacterium V6Fe1 tRNA-Sec". It matches the Rfam family "Selenocysteine transfer RNA". Lineage: Bacteria; Pseudomonadati; Deferribacterota; Deferribacteres; Deferribacterales; Deferrivibrionaceae. The record is from RNAcentral.